Molecule: long non-coding RNA, 1647 nt
Organism: Oryzias melastigma (Indian medaka)
Lineage: Eukaryota; Metazoa; Chordata; Actinopteri; Beloniformes; Adrianichthyidae
Exons: 8
Source: RefSeq, a predicted model, not a curated record
UUUCUAUUGCUUCUUUUAUGCCACUUACAUACACUAUAUUUUACUCGUAUUCCUCCCACUGUAAUUAUUUUCUGUUGGAAUAUUAUCAUUAAUGUCAUUGUUUGUUCUGGAUGCAUUUGUCUAAUUGUUUUGUCUGCUUGUAUUCAAUAAAGUUUUUUAAAAAACUGACUUACCCGUCGAUGCUACAACUUUGGAUUUAACGCCAACAUAAAAUGACAGAAAACCUUUAAUUAAAGAAGACGAAGGAUGGAAAAUGGUAAAGCCAAAAAAGAAUACUUUGGUCCUCCUUAACAUUGGCCACAAGAUGGAUUGGACUGAAACAAAGGCUUAAAAAGAAUUCUGUUUGGAAAACCCUUUCUGCAGAUCCUGAUGCCUUCCAGCACGCCAUUACAGCGCAGCUGGUGCAUCACCAGAGGGUUCUCCAUGGCCCCAGGAGUCUUGGUCUCAUUGGGGAUGAUGCAGCGCACAAAGUGAGGGUGGGUGGACCGCAGACUAUGAAUGCUGGUGUGGACUCGCAUCCUGAGCACUGCUGAUGAUUCAAGGGGAGAUAACAGUCUGAUUUGUUGCACUUUAUGUUGACUUGUGGCCAAAACGUCUUCCUUUGAAGUCUGUUGUCAGACCUCACGAAAUGAUGUGAAGAGGAUCCUGUUUGGGAAGCCCUUUCUGCAGAUCCUGAUGCCUUCCAGCACGCCGUUACAGCGCAGCUGGUGCAUCACCAGAGGGUUCUCCAUGGCCCCAGGAGUCUUGGUCUCGUUGGGGAUGAUGCAGCGCACAAAGUGAGGAGGUCUUUGAAGGCCAGAGUCAUGUGAGAUCAAGGUCAGACUGUCUGUGGGCUUUAUCCAUCCUGCUCUUCACUCCUUCAGCAGCAGCAUGAACAUGUCCGUCUGCCGUCUGCUCGGCUGUUUCAUCAAGAAGGUUACUAUGCAAACAAAGAUGACCACAACACAGAAGAACCCACGGGUCCUAGGUGGCUGUCAGUGAGUUUCACUCAUCUAGCCCUUUCUGUGAUGAGAAAAGAUAGAGUAGAGAAUGAAAGGUGGAUUAGUGUCAGAAAACUUAACAAGUGUUACACACUAUUAUUUUUCUAGACAUUUGUCAUGGCAUUAAAUUACCAAUAAAUAUAUGAUUUUUUUUUAAUCAAACAAGCAUCUCUUUCAGCAAUCAUUUUUAAUGAAAAAGAAAGCCAUUCUAAAUUGUGAAGAAUGAAAAUCUUAAGUCUGUAGACUCUUUUUAAAUAAAAAAACAAUUACUGUUCAUGAACUAAAACACCAUUCCUCAGUCAUUCCUGACACAAAUAAUGGUAAGUAUAGCAUCACAGUGACUUAAUUAGCAUGCCCAAUUUUACUACCAAAUCAAAAAAUUAACAAGUAAUCACAAACAUGAAAACAAUAAAGUCACUAAUAGAAUUCAAAGAACUUCAUUACAACAUAAUAUUCAUAAGGUUUCUGUAUAUCUAACAACUUCAUAAUAACAAUAACAUCUACAAUAAAAGGUUUUUGCAUCCAAAGCUUUUCCUAACUUGGUUCUGCCCUGCAUGCCCCCCCACCACCCCCCCCCCUGUUUCUAGCAGAUCUUUCUUCUUCCCACAUAAUACAUAGAAAUAAACUUAAAUCUUAAUCGUUUAAGCUAAAAUUAACUAACUUUAUA